This 228-nucleotide ribosomal RNA is filed under the name uncultured bacterium. RNAcentral describes it as "partial 16S ribosomal RNA". It matches the Rfam family "Bacterial small subunit ribosomal RNA", at positions 103 to 334 of the family's 1533-position model. The record is from RNAcentral.
CGGGUGAGUAAUGUCUGGGAAACUGCCCGAUGGCGGGGGAUAACUACUGGAAACGGUAGCUAAUACCGCAUAAUGUCUGCGGACCAAAGCGGGGGACCUCCGGGCCUCGCGCCAUCAGAUGUGCCCAGAUGGGAUUAGCUAGUAGGUGGGGUAACGGCUCACCUAGGCGACGAUCCCUAGCUGGUCUGAGAGGAUGACCAGCCACACUGGAACUGAGACACGGUCCAG